This is a non-coding RNA of Taeniopygia guttata (zebra finch), 5212 nucleotides long. The record is from RefSeq and is a predicted model, not a curated record. NCBI's taxonomy places the organism in Eukaryota, Metazoa, Chordata, Aves, Passeriformes, Estrildidae.
ACUAAUUAAGUGAUAGCAGGUGGCACAAUGACUGCUACAAUCUUCUCUGAUGUGCAGAGAGAGAUGCAUGGUUCACUGUCUAAAACACUCAGGAAUAGUAACAAUUUGCUAAAGCAGUAUUCUGUCCCAAGAUGCAGAAUAAGGAUUCACUUUGAUUUAACACUUCCUUAUCACAUCAAAGAGGUGAAGGGACAUCUUAUGGGUUGGCUUAGGAAAAAAAAAGUACUACCAGUUCAGCUUCUACACUUGCAUCUGACGUUUCUUGGUAUAACAGAAUUAAAGUAUGAAAUUAAUUCCAAGAGAGUCAUGUAAUUCUAAAAUAUCAGCCACCUUCCUUUAAAUUGCAACUGGCCUAAAUUCAUCAUUAAUGCUUUUAAGUUCCUCAAUUCAGAAUUGCUAUAGAUGUACUAUAGCAAUAGAGUCUUGUAAGUCAAGCAAACUGGAAAUGCUGUAGUAAAAUAAAUAUUUCUCUGUCAAUAAAAGCACUCAAUACUUUUAAGAAUAUAUGUGGUCAUUAAAUACAUUUGAGUUUGAACUCAAAUUUACUAAGCAGUAUUUGCACAUUAUUUUUACAGCAGGAUUUGAAGAUUAUUCCCAAUAUCACUGAGUUAAGACAAAUAAUUCUCCAGUCUUGUGAGUUAUUUCAGAGCUUAUUUUUCUUGUCCUUUCUGCUCUAUGGUCAGACUGAAGUAAGGCUAAGUCAUCACCCACAAUUAGUUUUCCAGAUAAGUUAUGGUUAGUUUUAAAACUAUGAGAUGUGUUUAAGAAGCUACUCUCUUUUAUUUGGACUUCCACGUGCUUGUGGAGUGUGCCCUCAGUUUAGGGAUGGCAGGGGAGCAGAUCUGCUGAAGAAAAACCAUGCUGUGCAAGAAUGCAACCACCAUAUGCCUAAGAGGCAAAAGAAGUGAUUGUUACAAAUGAUGAAAAAUAAAUGUUAUCUAAUUUCUGAAAACAUCUUAUCUAGUUUUAUGUCUCUGUAGCAUUCAUUUUAGUUUUGUUACUUAGUUGCUUACUACAGAUCAAAAGCAUGGCUGAUAAGACUUAAGUUUAGAUAUAUUUGUAACAUGCUGUGGUAUCUUACAGCAUAGCUAGUUCGUUCAAACAAUUCCUGCCUUCUCCCUCUGUAUCUUGCAAAGCCACAAUUUCAAGCAACAUUUUUGCUAUCUGACUUUCUACAGGUGAAUACAAGAGAAAGCCAGAUCUGGCAGUAGUAGGUGAAAAACUAUUUUUUCCUCAGGAUGUUAUGCAUUACGUUGUGGUGACAUUCUCAGUGAUGACAUGUGCAAAUUAAAGCUACCCUACUCUUCUUCUUCCUCUAAAACUCACAUAGUUUUAUGUGCUAUGAUAACCACAAGUACCAUGCAGAAUGUGUCCUUAGCAAGGGCAAAAAAGAAAGGUUCUACAACUUGGAAGCCUAAAUGAGCCUUUUACUUUAGAAUUAAAUGUGAAAGCUUGUGAAAAUCACUCAUCUUCAUCUUCUAAUGUUUUAAUAGAACUUUAUGGAAGGAAACUAAACUUCUGAUUCCAAAAAAAUGCCUUAUCUCCUCCAUGAAUACCAAACUGCUCAGCAUUUAGAAUACUAUCAUACAGAUGUUGUUCAGUGAAUUGAUAUCACAGUUGCAUCUUUUCUAGGACAAAAUUUGAACAAAUUUCCUGUAGUGAACAUGACAAAUACCUCCCUCUCUGUGGCUAAAAUAAAAAACUACUGCUGCACCCCUGGAUAUUCAAUUACCUAUGCAAAUGGGAAUAAUGGUAGACAGUUACUCAGAGACAGCUACUGGAGAAACUUGAACUUGUUGUUCAACUAAAGAAAAUAAUAUUAUCAUACUAUAGGCAUGAGCCCAGGUCUCUUACCUUCAUAUGCCACUGAUUAGUUCAGCCUUAGCUGAACAAAAAUCCUUAAUCUUCUCUUUUUAAUAUUGAAGAGGUAAACCCUCUUUCACCUGCGUGUGGAGUCUCCGUUUCAUCAAAGCUCAGGAGAUUCCAGCAACAAAAUCAAUGUAUGCAUGUUCAGAGCAAUUUUCAGGGUUUUGUAAGACAAAUCUUUCAAAUGGGAGCUAGUUUAAUGCUAUUGAGCUGAAUUUCGAUCUGACAGAGUGAGUGAACAACACAGAAACAGUUCACUUACCACUGCUCACACUACAGGAGGUGGGAAUCAGGUACAGGUCUGUACAAAUACAGCUGUGCAAUUUCUCAGUAAACUCUUACCCUACCUAAUACAAUGUUAAAUGUAACCAUACAGGGUUUAAACAAACAAAGACUUAAGAAAGAAAUGCAAUUUAUUUCUCUACUAUAAUGACUGACAAUUAUGGUUUUCUCAUACAAAGUAGUGAAAAUUAAGACUAGCUCUGCUAGAUUUAAUAGAGUUGUGCUACUGCUAAGCUGAUUUUAACUGAAACAUUUUCAGAUUCUGUGUCCUAACAGAAAACUGUAUCUGAACUAUGAUCUACAAAUAUCCUGUUCUGCAUUUCCCUCUGUUUCAAAACUUCCAACAACUUGCAUUCUGGAUUUUUUUUUUUUUUUGGAAGAAAAAAAAGAACAUUUAUAAAAGACUCAAUUUUAUUGCCACACGUUUUAGGUUAAUAUGAGCUGUAGUAUAGCUUUGCGAAGACAGAUUCUUUUGUUCCUGUGCUCUUAUUCUUUGAAUGCCAAUACUUCAAUCAGCUUACAAUCCAAGACAAUUCAUUCUUCUUCUGAGAAAAUAGUAUUAUAGCCACAUGUCCAUAUCACCAUUACAUCAUGGCAGUCUCCACAAUCAUACAUCUGAUUAGAAAAAUGAUCACUAGUCAUUUCUGGAGCUAUUCAGUAUCUGGAAUAAUAGAGUAUAUGCUUCCUCUGUACUAUUUAGAUUCCUUCCUUCUAAUAAACAAACUAAUGAGACUUCUACAAUGCUUGAACAUACAACCAGAGUGGCAAAGUGCAAACUAAAAUGAAUCAAACAAAAAACGCCAAUACUUUUAAUAUGUAUGUUACAGUGGCAACGUGCCCACAUUGGCUCUUGACAGUUCCUGAUUUAUAAAUAGGGCAAUAUUCUACUAACCAGGGACUAGAGGACAACUUUUACACACGUCUAAUUCAAAUACACAGUUCCAGGUCCUUAAAAAUAUAAAUAUCAUCUUCUUCUGCCAUUAUUCAUUUCAAAUCCACAGCUCUAAGUAAACAAGAAAUGUGACUGUUGUGUUAACUCUGUGUUAGCCCUAAAUAUUCCUCUUUUCAGGUUGUGCAGGUGAGGUAAUGAAGUUCUCUUCAAAAGAGACAAAUUAGUACCAUUCCUUCUGAUGUGCUUAAAUAUCUGCAGAAUUUUGGUUGUUUAUAUAAUACAUUUUUGUAAUCCAUGCAGAAAUACUAGAUGGAAUAAUGUAGCAAUGCAUCUUUCACACACUGUAAAAUAUAAACAAAUCAGUAUAAAUUAUAAGAGUGAAAAAAAUACAGGACCCAGGGUAGGUUCCUCAUAUUAGCAAAAUUCCAGCAGGCUAGCCAUCUUACUUACAAUAAAAAUGUCUAUUAUCUGGUGUAAUUGAAUAACUCUCUGAUAAUUACAUCAGCAUUUUAAUAGUAUAUAAAUAACCUCUCCCCUAAUUACCAUUUUGUUAAAUUUUUCAUAUAUUGCAGUGCUAUGAAAGGAGGUUCUUGGUAAAGUACUUUACCCUUUCAACAACAAUUAAUAAUUCAAUUAACAGGUCUUUUUUUUUAAAACAAAAGCUCACGGAGAAAGAGCAAGGAGGUCUACAGUUGAAAGGAGAGCUCUCUGUUAUGCUAUAAUCACGGCUUCAUGGUUAUAGUAGUAUAAAAUUUGUUCAUGGCUUUUUCUCUUUCACUGCAGCCCCUAAAUAGAAAUGACACCUGCUUUUUGGUGCUGUGAAUAAAAUCCUGUGCACAUGACUCAAAAUACAAGUGAACCUAGCUCCUUUGGAACUUAAAAAGAGGCAUUUCCACAUGCAAAUUUAUUUUUCACAUGUGAAUUUGUGUAUUUGUUUUUAAAAGAAUCCGUAGAGCCAGCCAUGUCGUAGAAGUCUUGACAUUAUGAAUUAGAGGGGAAAUACAUUGCCAAAAGUAGAAACCAAAUUUUCUCCCACCAAACAUUUAGACAGUCACACUUUCCUUCUCCCUGGUGUCAGGGAAGGAAAGUGAAAUGCCUGGCUCAGAAAAGCACUGCUGAACAGAAGAUGCAGUCCUCACUCAUCCAUAGCCUGAGUGAGAAGCCAAGCAUCUGAAAAGCUUUGAAUCAUGGGUGACCCUGUAGCAAAACAGAAUUGUGUUAAAUGAACGGCUGACAAUCACAACUGCGGUUCACAUAGCAGUAAUAUUCAGAUGCUACAAUAAGAUCUGCAACAUUAAUGUUUUCAGUCUUUAUAAUCAGUGUCAUAUUUUGCUAAUUUCUAGGCUGUUUAUUUACCUCAUGACAGAGAAUGCCCCAGUUAAACUUAUAUCUACUGUCAGAAUUUCAAAAUGUCAUCUCAAGUUUUACAGAACCCUCAUUCUUUUUAGAAGUAAUUAGUUAAGGCAUAGUUUGCAUGGCAAUUAAAAACCACUUGCUUGCAGAAGCUUGUAAGCAUUAUGUAAUUUUUUUAAACUACAAGUACACAUGCAUAUUCUUGCCUCCAGCUUAAAUACAGUGAAUGUUGUAGUUGGUUGCACAGGAAUUGUCUCAAGAACAUAAAAGCAAGCCAAACACGAUUGUAUUCCAACUAAAAUUGCUCUCUUUAUACCGUGUAUUGAAACUUGAUAACUGUUGGUUAUAAAAUUCCUUUGAUUUUCUGUAGGUAAUAAAAUACUUUGGCAAUUACUAUUGACAGUUCUGGAUAAUCUUGAAGGCUGCCUUGCCUGAAGAAGAUGAGUGUUACAAAUCACUCCACUGAAAGAGGGAAGAACAGCAGCAGGCAGCAGACAGGUUACAAGAGAACAAACAGAAGCAGCUACAAGCAGACUGGAAAAUUGUUGAAGCACCUGGUUCUAAUGCUUGCAGUAGGACUUUAUUAGAUGUCAUAAACUGAAUGAUGCAUUACUCUGUGGACAACUUAUAGCCUGCAAAUGUUGAGGCAAAAUGGAAGACAAAGAAUUCUUUGAAAACAAAAAGGUUAAACGUUCCUUUUUAAUUAAACAACACGUAUCAGAUGCAGGAAUACGCUCACAGAGAUUGGAGACUAUUUCUGUUACUUUUUAAUGUAUUUCUAUAUCACCUUAAUAAAUAAAAAGUAUUUUACUUUAACAA